GGACACAGCAUGGCCGUGAGGGUCCCUGCUCAGCUCCUGGGCCUCCUGCUGCUCUGGCUCCCAGGUGUCAGAAGUGACAUCCAGAUGACGCAGUCUCCAGCCUCCCUGUCUGCAUCUCCAGGGGACACGGUCACCAUGAGGUGCCGGGCCAGUCAGAACAUUAUCAGUGAGUUAGACUGGUAUCAGCAGAAACCAGGGCAAGCACCUAGACUCCUGAUCUACCAUGUAUCCAACUUGCACUCUGGGGUCCCACCGAGGUUCAGCGGCAGUGGGUCGGGGACAGACUUCACUCUCACCAUCAGCAGCCUGCAGCCCGAAGACUUUGCAACUUAUUACUGCCGACAAGAUUACAGCUACCCUUUCCCACAGUGA
Octodon degus (degu) is the source of this 372-nucleotide non-coding RNA. The record is from the annotation of a RefSeq genome assembly. NCBI's taxonomy places the organism in Eukaryota, Metazoa, Chordata, Mammalia, Rodentia, Octodontidae.